UCGCACCCCAAGUCAAACAUAGAGAGUCCAAGAUUCUCCACACAAAACAAUGAUAUAAACGAGUGCGUCGCACCCGAAUCAAACAGGACAUGCACAUUUCUGCCAAACAAAGAACAAGUAUCAAGUAUCAGGUUACCUGACUUCUCGGCUUCUGCUCCCGACAUGGCAAACACUCUGCCCGCAGCCUGCGGCUUUCCACCAUUAGUUGACUUCUGAGGCGUUCCACCAAAUGACUUCUUCUCAGGGCAAUAAAGAGAGAUAUGCCCAGGCUUGUUACAUGUGAAACACGUUCUCACCUCCUUCCUGACGUUACUCAGCUUUGGACAAUUUCUUCG
Molecule: long non-coding RNA, 335 nt
Filed under: Vigna radiata
Lineage: Eukaryota; Viridiplantae; Streptophyta; Magnoliopsida; Fabales; Fabaceae
Description: long non-coding RNA (VRAD_LNC002106)
Source: RNAcentral